This 1134-nucleotide ribosomal RNA is filed under the name Vibrio sp. 2017_1457_13. RNAcentral describes it as "bacterial SSU rRNA". It matches the Rfam family "Bacterial small subunit ribosomal RNA", at positions 1 to 1122 of the family's 1533-position model. Lineage: Bacteria; Pseudomonadati; Pseudomonadota; Gammaproteobacteria; Vibrionales; Vibrionaceae. The record is from RNAcentral. RNAcentral also lists the same sequence under 1 other name.
AAAUUGAAGAGUUUGAUCAUGGCUCAGAUUGAACGCUGGCGGCAGGCCUAACACAUGCAAGUCGAGCGGUAACAGGAAGAAAGCUUGCUUUCUUUGCUGACGAGCGGCGGACGGGUGAGUAAUGCCUGGGAAAUUGCCCUGAUGUGGGGGAUAACCAUUGGAAACGAUGGCUAAUACCGCAUGAUGCCUACGGGCCAAAGAGGGGGACCUUCGGGCCUCUCGCGUCAGGAUAUGCCCAGGUGGGAUUAGCUAGUUGGUGAGGUAAUGGCUCACCAAGGCGACGAUCCCUAGCUGGUCUGAGAGGAUGAUCAGCCACACUGGAACUGAGACACGGUCCAGACUCCUACGGGAGGCAGCAGUGGGGAAUAUUGCACAAUGGGCGCAAGCCUGAUGCAGCCAUGCCGCGUGUAUGAAGAAGGCCUUCGGGUUGUAAAGUACUUUCAGUCGUGAGGAAGGGGGUAUCGUUAAUAGCGGUAUUCUUUGACGUUAGCGACAGAAGAAGCACCGGCUAACUCCGUGCCAGCAGCCGCGGUAAUACGGAGGGUGCGAGCGUUAAUCGGAAUUACUGGGCGUAAAGCGCAUGCAGGUGGUUUGUUAAGUCAGAUGUGAAAGCCCGGGGCUCAACCUCGGAGUUGCAUUUGAAACUGGCAGGCUAGAGUACUGUAGAGGGGGGUAGAAUUUCAGGUGUAGCGGUGAAAUGCGUAGAGAUCUGAAGGAAUACCGGUGGCGAAGGCGGCCCCCUGGACAGAUACUGACACUCAGAUGCGAAAGCGUGGGGAGCAAACAGGAUUAGAUACCCUGGUAGUCCACGCUGUAAACGAUGUCUACUUGGAGGUUGUGGCCUUGAGCCGUGGCUUUCGGAGCUAACGCGUUAAGUAGACCGCCUGGGGAGUACGGUCGCAAGAUUAAAACUCAAAUGAAUUGACGGGGGCCCGCACAAGCGGUGGAGCAUGUGGUUUAAUUCGAUGCAACGCGAAGAACCUUACCUACUCUUGACAUCUACAGGAUCCUGCGGAGACGCGGGAGUGCCUUCGGGAACUGUAAGACAGGUGCUGCAUGGCUGUCGUCAGCUCGUGUUGUGAAAUGUUGGGUUAAGUCCCGCAACGAGCGCAACCCUUAUCCUUGUUUGCCAGC